UACGUAGGGUGCGAGCGUUUGUCCGGAAUUAUUGGGCGUAAAGAGCUUGUAGGCGGUUUGUCGCGUCUGCUGUGAAAAUCCGGGGCUCAACCCCGGACUUGCAGUGGGUACGGGCAGACUGGAGUGUGGUAGGGGAGACUGGAAUUCCUGGUGUAGCGGUGGAAUGCGCAGAUAUCAGGAGGAACACCGAUGGCGAAGGCAGGUCUCUGGGCCACUACUGACGCUGAGAAGCGAAAGCGUGGGGAGCAAACAGG
Molecule: ribosomal RNA, 254 nt
Filed under: uncultured bacterium
Lineage: Bacteria
Description: partial 16S ribosomal RNA
Rfam family: Bacterial small subunit ribosomal RNA
Source: RNAcentral